This 253-nucleotide ribosomal RNA is filed under the name uncultured bacterium. RNAcentral's name for it is "partial 16S ribosomal RNA". It matches the Rfam family "Bacterial small subunit ribosomal RNA", at positions 524 to 776 of the family's 1533-position model. The record is from RNAcentral.
UACGUAGGGGGCCAGCGUUGUCCGGAUUCAUUGGGCGUAAAGCGCGUGUAGGCGGCCAGGUAGGUCCGAUGUGAAAUCUGGAGGCUCAACCUCCGGCUGUCAUUGGAAACCAUCUGGCUAGAGUCCGGAAGAGGAGAGUGGAAUUCCUGGUGUAGCGGUGAAAUGCGCAGAUAUCAGGAAGAACACCGAUGGCGAAGGCAGCUCUCUGGGACGGUACUGACGCUGAGACGCGAAAGCGUGGGGAGCGAACAGG